GGUUAAGCGACUAAGCGUACACGGUGGAUGCCCUGGCAGUCAGAGGCGAUGAAGGACGUGCUAAUCUGCGAUAAGCGUCGGUAAGGUGAUAUGAACCGUUAUAACCGGCGAUUUCCGAAUGGGGAAACCCAGUGUGAUUCGUCACACUAUCAUUAACUGAAUCCAUAGGUUAAUGAGGCGAACCGGGGGAACUGAAACAUCUAAGUACCCCGAGGAAAAGAAAUCAACCGAGAUUCCCCCAGUAGCGGCGAGCGAACGGGGAGCAGCCCAGAGCCUGAAUCAGUGUGUGUGUUAGUGGAAGCGUCUGGAAAGGCGCGCGAUACAGGGUGACAGCCCCGUACACAAAAAUGCACAUGCUGUGAGCUCGAUGAGUAGGGCGGGACACGUGGUAUCCUGUCUGAAUAUGGGGGGACCAUCCUCCAAGGCUAAAUACUCCUGACUGACCGAUAGUGAACCAGUACCGUGAGGGAAAGGCGAAAAGAACCCCGGCGAGGGGAGUGAAAAAGAACCUGAAACCGUGUACGUACAAGCAGUGGGAGCACGCUUAGGCGUGUGACUGCGUACCUUUUGUAUAAUGGGUCAGCGACUUAUAUUCUGUAGCAAGGUUAACCGAAUAGGGGAGCCGAAGGGAAACCGAGUCUUAACUGGGCGUUAAGUUGCAGGGUAUAGACCCGAAACCCGGUGAUCUAGCCAUGGGCAGGUUGAAGGUUGGGUAACACUAACUGGAGGACCGAACCGACUAAUGUUGAAAAAUUAGCGGAUGACUUGUGGCUGGGGGUGAAAGGCCAAUCAAACCGGGAGAUAGCUGGUUCUCCCCGAAAGCUAUUUAGGUAGCGCCUCGUGAAUUCAUCUCCGGGGGUAGAGCACUGUUUCGGCAAGGGGGUCAUCCCGACUUACCAACCCGAUGCAAACUGCGAAUACCGGAGAAUGUUAUCACGGGAGACACACGGCGGGUGCUAACGUCCGUCGUGAAGAGGGAAACAACCCAGACCGCCAGCUAAGGUCCCAAAGUCAUGGUUAAGUGGGAAACGAUGUGGGAAGGCCCAGACAGCCAGGAUGUUGGCUUAGAAGCAGCCAUCAUUUAAAGAAAGCGUAAUAGCUCACUGGUCGAGUCGGCCUGCGCGGAAGAUGUAACGGGGCUAAACCAUGCACCGAAGCUGCGGCAGCGACGCUGAUGCGUUGUUGGGUAGGGGAGCGUUCUGUAAGCCUGCGAAGGUGUGCUGUGAGGCAUGCUGGAGGUAUCAGAAGUGCGAAUGCUGACAUAAGUAACGAUAAAGCGGGUGAAAAGCCCGCUCGCCGGAAGACCAAGGGUUCCUGUCCAACGUUAAUCGGGGCAGGGUGAGUCGACCCCUAAGGCGAGGCCGAAAGGCGUAGUCGAUGGGAAACAGGUUAAUAUUCCUGUACUUGGUGUUACUGCGAAGGGGGGACGGAGAAGGCUAUGUUGGCCGGGCGACGGUUGUCCCGGUUUAAGCGUGUAGGCUGGUUUUCCAGGCAAAUCCGGAAAAUCAAGGCUGAGGCGUGAUGACGAGGCACUACGGUGCUGAAGCAACAAAUGCCCUGCUUCCAGGAAAAGCCUCUAAGCAUCAGGUAACAUCAAAUCGUACCCCAAACCGACACAGGUGGUCAGGUAGAGAAUACCAAGGCGCUUGAGAGAACUCGGGUGAAGGAACUAGGCAAAAUGGUGCCGUAACUUCGGGAGAAGGCACGCUGAUAUGUAGGUGAAGCGACUUGCUCGUGGAGCUGAAAUCAGUCGAAGAUACCAGCUGGCUGCAACUGUUUAUUAAAAACACAGCACUGUGCAAACACGAAAGUGGACGUAUACGGUGUGACGCCUGCCCGGUGCCGGAAGGUUAAUUGAUGGGGUUAGCGCAAGCGAAGCUCUUGAUCGAAGCCCCGGUAAACGGCGGCCGUAACUAUAACGGUCCUAAGGUAGCGAAAUUCCUUGUCGGGUAAGUUCCGACCUGCACGAAUGGCGUAAUGAUGGCCAGGCUGUCUCCACCCGAGACUCAGUGAAAUUGAACUCGCUGUGAAGAUGCAGUGUACCCGCGGCAAGACGGAAAGACCCCGUGAACCUUUACUAUAGCUUGACACUGAACAUUGAGCCUUGAUGUGUAGGAUAGGUGGGAGGCUUUGAAGUGUGGACGCCAGUCUGCAUGGAGCCGACCUUGAAAUACCACCCUUUAAUGUUUGAUGUUCUAACGUUGACCCGUGAUCCGGGUUGCGGACAGUGUCUGGUGGGUAGUUUGACUGGGGCGGUCUCCUCCUAAAGAGUAACGGAGGAGCACGAAGGUUGGCUAAUCCUGGUCGGACAUCAGGAGGUUAGUGCAAUGGCAUAAGCCAGCUUGACUGCGAGCGUGACGGCGCGAGCAGGUGCGAAAGCAGGUCAUAGUGAUCCGGUGGUUCUGAAUGGAAGGGCCAUCGCUCAACGGAUAAAAGGUACUCCGGGGAUAACAGGCUGAUACCGCCCAAGAGUUCAUAUCGACGGCGGUGUUUGGCACCUCGAUGUCGGCUCAUCACAUCCUGGGGCUGAAGUAGGUCCCAAGGGUAUGGCUGUUCGCCAUUUAAAGUGGUACGCGAGCUGGGUUUAGAACGUCGUGAGACAGUUCGGUCCCUAUCUGCCGUGGGCGCUGGAGAACUGAGGGGGGCUGCUCCUAGUACGAGAGGACCGGAGUGGACGCAUCACUGGUGUUCGGGUUGUCAUGCCAAUGGCACUGCCCGGUAGCUAAAUGCGGAAGAGAUAAGUGCUGAAAGCAUCUAAGCACGAAACUUGCCCCGAGAUGAGUUCUCCCUGACUCCUUGAGAGUCCUGAAGGAACGUUGAAGACGACGACGUUGAUAGGCCGGGUGUGUAAGCGCAGCGAUGCGUUGAGCUAACCGGUACUAAUGAACCGUGAGG
This 2895-nucleotide ribosomal RNA is filed under the name Escherichia coli. RNAcentral's name for it is "partial 23S ribosomal RNA". It matches the Rfam family "Bacterial large subunit ribosomal RNA". The record is from RNAcentral. Lineage: Bacteria; Pseudomonadati; Pseudomonadota; Gammaproteobacteria; Enterobacterales; Enterobacteriaceae.